AUGAACAGUAGGGGAGAUCCAUUCGGCGUUUUCUGCGACUAGGGCAUAGGCACCUCCUUCUCCUCUCUUCUUCCACUGGCCGGCGGCUCUCUUCUUAUCCAUCGCCGUCGGCCGGACUUCCUUCACCAUCCUCUCCAUCAUCCCGCGGCCAACCCAUUCCAACUUCUCCUGCUUAGAUCCAAGCGGCGGCGAUAGCAGUCUUCACCUCACCGGAGAGGGUUUCUCCGGUGAGAUCCUUCACCUUCCGAGUUCUCUGUCUUUCUGGGGUUCGGACGGGCAGAGGAAGAAGAAGGCGACGCCAUCCCUGCCUUUUUCCAGCAGCACUUCUUCAUUGAUUCUUCCGGAUAGCACCUUUCACAUUUCGAGCAGCACUUCAUUCUUCAACAGAUCUGGACAGUUUUGGAUUGUUGCAGUUUCUUCACUGAAUUCUUAUUGACAUGUUAAUUUUGUGUGUUUGAUUGUUUGAUGCUUGUACUAAAUUGAUCUCCCAUGUUUUAGUGCACGUACUCAUGCUAUUUUGAUUCAUGCUCGUAAGGUGUUCGACAAAAUGUUUCUUCCAACAGAAAUUCAAAGAGCCAUUGAUUAGGGUCGAGUCGGAUCGAAUUUGACUUGAUUUGGAGGUCAAAUGAGGAAGAUCAAACUGAAUUAAUGUGGACCAUUGAUCAAGAUCCAGUGCGAUCCUGCCCAUCAGUCAGAUCAAGUGAUCCAACCUUUCAUCAUGAUUUAAAGUGAUCUGGACCGUUGAUCGAGAUCAAGACAUCCAAGGGUUCAUCUAAGAAGUAGAGCUCCAAUUCAAAUUUGAUCCAAAAGCCUACUCUUCAAACCCAAUCUUCGAACCCAUUCUUCAAGCCCGAUUAUAAAAGCCCAAUUUCAUAUUCUUAUUAGAUCCGGAUCCGGAAUUCACUCAAAUCUUUCCUUACCAAACCCGAAACCCAUUAAACCAUUAAGAACCUUACCUCUUCACGGAUGCACAGGGCCGCCUCCCACCUUCUGUGUUCGCGAAUUGCAGGGCGCGGCUAGGGCAUCGACUUCUCCACAGCACCUCCUUCUUCUCCGUUCUUCUCUCCGGCCGGCGGCCUCUCUUCCUCUCUUUCUCGCCGCCGGCCGGCCAUCCACAGCCAUACUUCUUCUCAGAUUCCAGAGGCGAGCGGCAACAACAACUCGGCAAGGAACGGCGAGCUUCGGCAGCGAUUCCGGCAAUCCACCUCGCCGGAGGGGUUCUCCGGUGUGAUCUCCACCGUCCAGCUUCUUCCUGGCAGCUCCACUGCUUGGGGUUCAGGCGGCAGAGCAAGGAGCAGCAGGCGGCGGUUCGUUCCAGUUCACAGCAGUCCACAUUCAUUUCCAGCCAUCUUCCAGCGGAGGGGUUCUUCGGUGGAAGAUCCGUUCACCAUCUUCGUUGUCGCAGCUAGCAGCAUUCCAGCAGAUUGUGCGCUGUCCACCGGUUUUGGGGGUUCCGAUCCGGGUCUUCGUGUGACGACCAAGAUAGUUAUUGGUAAUCGGAAGGGGAUAUGUGAAUUGUGGUUGGAUUAGUUUAGAGUUUAAUUCUGUUAAUUUUGUUAAUUUGCUUGUGUUGAAGUUCUAUUGUUGAAUGCUUGUAUUGAAUAUGAUUGUUCAAGUUUGAAUUGCACUUACUACGUUUAAUUAA
Molecule: long non-coding RNA, 1645 nt
Organism: Zingiber officinale
Lineage: Eukaryota; Viridiplantae; Streptophyta; Magnoliopsida; Zingiberales; Zingiberaceae
Exons: 2
Source: RefSeq, a predicted model, not a curated record